This 187-nucleotide non-coding RNA is filed under the name Eubacterium sp. CAG:180. Its description in RNAcentral is "Bacterial large subunit ribosomal RNA". It matches the Rfam family "Bacterial large subunit ribosomal RNA", at positions 1 to 188 of the family's 2925-position model. Lineage: Bacteria; Bacillati; Bacillota; Clostridia; Eubacteriales; Eubacteriaceae. The record is from Rfam by way of RNAcentral.
GGUCAAGCUACAAAGAGCGUAAGGGGAAUGCCUUGGCACCAGGAGCCGACGAAGGACGCAGCGAUCUGCGAAAAGCCACGGGGAGCCGAAAGCAGGCUUUGAUCCGUGGAUAUCCGAAUGGGGAAACCCGCAUGGUUAAUAGCCAUGCGACGUAUACUGAAUAAAUAGGUAUGCGUCGGGAACCGUC